GACGAACCGUCCAAACGUUAUUCGGAAUCACUGGGCUUAAAGGGUGCGUAGGCGGUCUGGUACGUUGGGUGCGAAAUCCCUCGGCUCAACCGAGGAAUAGCGCCCAAUACUGCCGGACUUGAGGGAGGCAGAGGUAAGCGGAACUUGCGGUGGAGCGGUGAAAUGCAUUGAUAUCGCAGGGAACACCAGUGGCGAAGGCGGCUUACUGGGCCUUCUCUGACGCUGAGGCACGAAAGCUAGGGGAGCGAACGGGAUUAGAUACCCCGGUAGUCCUAGCUGUAAACUCUGAGCACUGGGUCGAGGAGUACUCCAUAGCUUCUUGGCCGUAGCGAAAGUGUUAAGUGCUCCGCCUGGGGAGUAUGGUCGCAAGGCUGAA
This 376-nucleotide ribosomal RNA is filed under the name uncultured bacterium. RNAcentral's name for it is "bacterial SSU rRNA". It matches the Rfam family "Bacterial small subunit ribosomal RNA", at positions 524 to 898 of the family's 1533-position model. The record is from RNAcentral.